RNAcentral lists this ribosomal RNA (253 nucleotides) under uncultured bacterium. RNAcentral's name for it is "partial 16S ribosomal RNA". It matches the Rfam family "Bacterial small subunit ribosomal RNA", at positions 524 to 776 of the family's 1533-position model. The record is from RNAcentral.
UACAGAGGGUGCAAGCGUUAAUCGGAAUUACUGGGCGUAAAGGGCGCGUAGGCGGUUAUGUAAGUGAGAUGUGAAAUCCCUGGGCUUAACCUAGGAACUGCAUCUUAUACUGUGUAGCUAGAGUAUUGUAGAGGGUAGUGGAAUUUCCGGUGUAGCGGUGAAAUGCGUAGAGAUCGGAAGGAACACCAGUGGCGAAGGCGGCUACCUGGACAAAUACUGACGCUGAGGCGCGAAAGCGUGGGGAGCAAACAGG